AAGUCCCUCUGAUGACACCACAAAUCUGGAAAUGAAGAACUUCUUAGAGCUGAUUGGAAAUGGCAUUGCGGAGCUGAAACUUAACUGGAGGAAAUAUAUCUCCUGAAGAAGAAAAUAUAAUGCACUGUAAGGAUCUGACUUCUGGUGAAAAAUUCAAGCCUAGAGAAAACUUGUCCGCUUUGUUAGAAAGAAUGGGUUGGACAAUUUUCUUCAAUUCCAAAGGAUAUCUGAACGCCAUGCUGAGCUUAAUCUCUGCAGCAUGCUCUGUGCUUCUCAUCUCUUCCUGAUGCACUGCAUGGUUAUCCUGAAGGGGAGGAUAAAGAAACUGGCCACCAAGAUGGUAAUCACUAGUGGAAAUGAAGAAGAUAAAGGCAGUCAAGAAAAGGAAAGCAAAGAAGAAACUAUCUUGGCAAUGCUUGGAAUUAUUGGGACAAUUCUGAACCUCAUUGUCAUCAUUUUUGUGUAUAUUUACACAACGUUGUAGACUAGAAGGCAUGCAAAUAGACCAGAUAAAACGGCCAUUAAGAGUCAUGACAAACAUUGCUGACUAUUGACAAGUUGUUUAAUCAGAAUUGACUCUGUAUUAUAACACAUCAUGAAAGCACUGCCUGCAGGCAGCGAAGGCUGAAGCACAAUUAAUUUAACAAGACUUUUUCACACAGUAACAAGCUUAACUCUUCUGUCCUGCCCUCUUCCUUUUGGUCUGGUUUUCAGUUUGGGGGAAAAUGACUGCAAUUAUGUAAGUUGUAGCUUUGAAGAAAUCCACCAGAGAUAUGUUGUUUUAACACAAUUUAAAAAAACCCCAAAA
This is a long non-coding RNA of Cariama cristata (Red-legged seriema), 808 nucleotides long. RefSeq lists it as uncharacterized. The transcript has 2 exons. The record is from RefSeq and is a predicted model, not a curated record. NCBI's taxonomy places the organism in Eukaryota, Metazoa, Chordata, Aves, Cariamiformes, Cariamidae.